This 451-nucleotide ribosomal RNA is filed under the name uncultured bacterium. RNAcentral's name for it is "bacterial SSU rRNA". It matches the Rfam family "Bacterial small subunit ribosomal RNA", at positions 29 to 524 of the family's 1533-position model. The record is from RNAcentral.
AGCGAACGCUGGCGGCAGGCUUAACACAUGCAAGUCGAGCGGGCGUAGCAAUACGUCAGCGGCAGACGGGUGAGUAACGCGUGGGAACAUACCUUUUGGUUCGGAACAACACAGGGAAACUUGUGCUAAUACCGGAUAAGCCCUUACGGGGAAAGAUUUAUCGCCGAAAGAUUGGCCCGCGUCUGAUUAGCUAGUUGGUGAGGUAACGGCUCACCAAGGCGACGAUCAGUAGCNGGUCUGAGAGGAUGAUCAGCCACAUUGGGACUGAGACACGGCCCAAACUCCUACGGGAGGCAGCAGUGGGAAUAUUGGACAAUGGGCGCAAGCCUGAUCCAGCCAUGCCGCGUGAGUGAUGAAGGCCCUAGGGUUGUAAAGCUCUUUUGUGCGGGAAGAUAAUGACGGUACCGCAAGAAUAAGCCCCGGCUAACUUCGUGCCAGCCACCGCCGUAAU